RNAcentral lists this long non-coding RNA (6761 nucleotides) under Homo sapiens (human). RNAcentral's name for it is "HSALNT0111303". Lineage: Eukaryota; Metazoa; Chordata; Mammalia; Primates; Hominidae. The record is from RNAcentral.
GUUAGGAAAAAAAUUCUGCAAAUUUGCAAUUUGGUUCUCAUUACCCAGCCUCAGAACAAGGUAAAAACUAUUUCUUUUUAAUAAGUAGGCAAAAUAUUUUAUUUUCGAUUUUGAAAAAAGUAUUGCAUUGACAAUAUUUUCAAAAUAAAAGCACCACUUAGGGAAUAUACCUCUGUUGACCUACUGUUUCUUUUACUGAAAAAAAAAGAUUCAUUAGGAAAGGUUAAAAAAAAAUAAUAAUAAUCAUAAGUUAUAAAAGUUGCUAUUAGUGGUAAGAAAAUCUAGAAAAUGCCAAAAAAAAUACUGAAUUAGUCCCAUCAGAGUAACAGGUUACUUCUUGCCAUUUUUCUAGGCAUGUAUAUAACAAGAGCUAAAAUUGUAUUACAAUUGCUUAAUACAGUUCAUCUUCCACUUCAUAUGAACAUUUUCCACUGUAUCUGACAUAUUUUGGCUAUUCUAUUAUUUGUACUGAAGGAGGGCCAUUAUAAUUAACCUCAUUAUACACCCUUCUAUAUAAAUUAGAUUCUCUUUGCAUUGUUUAACUACCCCUUCACUUCUCACUUGCUCUCUUCGGCAGACGGUACACAUGCCCGGAAAAGAAACCGCCUAAAGGUUUGUUCUUCAACUAGUGUCAGUCAACUGAUGCAUUUUCUGCAGAUAAGCCCUUGCUGCUUUCCCCCUUUACAGCACCAAAGAGAGCUAUAGCACAAAAGACUCAUGGCAAUUCACAGGAGGACCCAGGGUGGAGAAAGCUGCAGAGAACUACAUCAAGAGUGAACCCAGUUCUCAAGAAAUGAACAACAGUUCUGAAUAAAUUGUUCCCCCACUCCCUGCACCCCAUUUUCUUUUCAUAACCAACCUUCUGAAAAUUACUUUUCUCCAAACACCUCUGGUUUCAGCAACCUUCAACAUCCUACUUAGUCAAUGUCUUCUAAUGAGUGUUAAAUAUUUACGACCACAUCACCAUAUAAUCAUCAGCUCAAAAUAAGUUUUGUAUCAUUUGCAGACUUCCAUGGCAUGACUAUUUCCAUGGUAACCAGUUUCAAGUUACCAACAUGGUAUCACUGAACAUGGGCUGGGAAGAGCUACUACACAAUAACUGGCUAGCAAAAGCUGGUCCAAGCCAGCUCCACACACCACUGCGUAAGUGUUUCAAGAUGAGUUGUCCUUGUUACAGCAUUUGACUACUUCUUCCUUUGAAAAACUACGCCCACAACCACAUACUGUUAGUUUCUUGCACAUACUUCUCUGGGCUUUUUUACUACCCUACCCCCAUCCCUAUUUCCUCCCGUCUUCUUCCUAGCCCUUAGACAUUACUGUUUCCUAGAGUCUGGUCUUCAAGCCCCAUCCCUUCUUUCUAUAUGCUCCUCCAGUGCCUCUACUACUGCCUAUGCCUAUUUAUAUUUUUAGCCAAGAGCUCUUGCCUGACUUGCAGUUUCCUGAAUACUGAACAGAUCCCACUUAAAUGGAUUCUAGGUAUCUUAAACUAAAAUCCCAAAUGACAGGCCCAACCAUCAAUAGACUGCUCUUCCUCUUUCUUGCUUACUUUGGUGAAAAUUCCUCCCCUUCUCCCUAUCACUCUACCUCUCCUCCUCUCAGUCAUGAAGUCCUACCCCUUCUACUUCCUAAACUUAUUUGCAAACAUCUGCAGCCCACCUCUAUCUGUUCUCUAGAAUUAUUGUAACAGGCUAUCUAAUCUCCUGAGUUCCUUCUGGCAUCGUUCCAAUCUACUCUCCACAAUGCCAGAAUAAGUUGUUUUAUUAAAAUGCAAGUCUGAUCAUAUGACCUAUAAACUUUAAAAUCUUUCAGGAUAACAUCUAAGUCUACCAGCAAGGCAUACAAAGGUGUUUCCCAAUUCUGCUCACCUGGUGAGCAACUGGUGAUGGACCAGCUUAACUCCUUCUCACCUUGUACAGGAUGGGACACUCUUUGAACUCACCGUACUACUUCACAUCUCCUCCGCAUGUGCUGACCCGCUGCUCCACUUCAGAGGCUCUCUCCAAGUUUUCCAGUGCAGUUUCACUACCAAGCUAUCACCACAUCUGCAUCCCACCCAAUACACAUUCCUUCUUACAAAUUUCCCAAUACGCUGUGCUCACUGAGAUCUUUCAUUGUUCCUACAGUAGACAAAAUGCUGGCUUAACCCUACCAUUUACCCUAGUACUUGUCUUGGAAUAGACGCAUUUAAUAUUGGUAAAAUGUUAAGUAUUUAAUAUUUACUCUUCCUCUCAAGUUAGUAAAUUUUAAGGAGUUCUUAUCCAUGCUGUUGAGGGCACGGUAAAAACUUUCCAGGUUGAUGGGAAUGAAAAUAAUAAAUCUUUCUGGAGAGCCUUAAAAUAAUCAUACCCUCUGACCUAGAAAUUCUGUUUGACUCAAACCUAUCAGAGAUAAAUACAAAUGCAAUUCCAUGUAAGAUGUUCACUGCAUGGAGAAUGAGAGACGGCCUAAUUCUCUAAUCAAGAGCAGGAUGGGUAAAGUGUAUACCAUAAUGCUUACAUUAAGAGAGAAAAUACAGGCUGGGCUCGGUGGCUCACACCUGUAAUCCCGGCUCUUUGGGAGUCUGAGGUAGGCGGAUCACUUUAAGUCAGGAUUUCAAGACCAGCCUGGCCAAUGUGGUGAAACCGUGACUCUACUAAAAAAACAAAAAUUAGUUGGGCAUGAUGGCAGGUGCCUGUAAUCCCAGCGACUCAGGAGGCUGAGGCAGGAGAAUCGCUUGAACUUGGGAGGGGAAGGUUGCAGUGAACCGAGAUCGUACCACUGCACUCCAGCCUGAGCGGCAGAGCAAGACUUCGCUUCCAAAAAAAAAAAAAGAAAAGAAAAAAAGAAAUACAAAGGUGCAUGAACGUUAUCGUACAAUUUCAUAAAAAGUGUAUUUAUUUAGAUACACAUAAAAAAGACUAGAAGAAAUUAAUCACUGAAAACAUUUUGGUUGCUCUGGAUGAUGAGAAUUAUAAUUUGCUUUAGGCUUCUAUAUUUCCCAAGAUUUCCACUAAAUCUAUAAAAAGUACUUUAUAGACUCAAUGUACACAGCCUCAGCAAAUCUGCUCACAUUCACCGACUAUAAAACACUGGAGCUAUGUGUCACUGUCACAAAAGGUAGAGAUUAACGUUAAUUGCUGUGGUCCAAGACUUUUAAGUUUUUACUCAUCUUUAAAAUUAUACUAACAACUUUUACAUAAUUAUUUAAAACUAAUCCAUCAAGAAAGCUUAAAAAUACUGAAGGAAAAGGAAGAAAACAGUCAUCUUGAAUUACCUGUAGAAUUGGCUGUUGGCACUGGAGUGGCCGUGGAAACUAUUAAAAAAAGAAAAAAGAAAAACCAUAUACAUCAAAGCUAUUUAAAAUAUCACAAUCUAUAACGCUAGUUCCUGACCUGCAAUCAUUUGAGUACUUUUCACAAUUUUUACAACACUUAAAUACUACCUGUGGAAGAGACUGACAGUUGCCCCCAAAUACCAGUCUCUUCUUUAGAAAUAGAAUCACCAAUUUUUAUCAACACCUCCCUUCCUCCUGAAAAGACAUUUCCUAGUCUCCAGUGCUUCCAGGCCAUCACGCAUAACCUCUAGGAAGCAUCCUUAAAGUAAGAUACAAGCCUCUUUCAUUCCCUUCUUCAUCCUGCUGGCAGGAAAAUAAUCAAUGUGAUGGCUGGAACAUAAGGACCCACCUUGGACAGUAGGGUCAAAGCCAUUUUUGAGAGGUGAAAGAGUAAAAACCUAAAGAAGCCUCAGUCCCUAAUGGUUGCAGAGCUGAACUCUAGUCCAGACUUCCUUUACAUGAGAGAAAAGUAAAUCAGUCCACUGCUUAAGCCAUUGUAAUUUGGGGGUUUAUGUCCUUCAUAGCUGAAACUAAUUCUAACUGGUACAUCAUCAAAUAUGCAGCAGUACAAAUACAGUUUUCCUUUAAAUCAGUUUUCAAAAACGUUCUAAUACUAAUGAAAUCUUCAUUAAUCUUGUCUCUAAGCAAUAUUACAAAACCACAGGUCUGACAGUUAUUAGUUUAUCUAACACAUAUUAAAGUAAUUACUUAAAAUGUUUCAGCCAGGUCCAGUAGCUCAAGCAUGUAAUUCCAGCACUCUGGGAAGCCAAAGUGGGAAGACUGCUUAAGCCCAGGAGUUCAAGACCAGCCUGGGCAACAUAGUGAGACACCAUCUCUACAAAAAAAUUUUUAAAUUAGCCAGCUAUGGUGGCAUGCACCUGUAAUCCCAGCUUCUGGGGAGGCUGAGGCAGAAGGAUUGCUUAAGCCCAGGAAUAUGAGGUGGCAAUGAGUUAUGAUUGUGCCACUGCACUCCAGCCUGGGCAACAAAGAGACUGUCUCAAAAAAAGUUUGUUCGUGUACCACCUAACUAUAUUAUGCACCCUGUGUGAAGUAAAACUGAUCUAAUACUAAUGAAAUGUUCAGUUACAAAAUUCACAUUGGGAUGGGGCAACCCCUACCAAAAUUAAAGAGUCAAAGGUAGUCUUUCAAGGUUAGACACACUGCACAAAAAUCUUUUUCCUAUUCAAUUAUUAUCUAUGCAUCAAAUUAGGAAUAUGCCUUUCCCACUGAUUUACAAUCUCAUUGGAAAAAUCAGCAGCUUCAAGUAGAAUUUUAACGUUUUGCUGGACGAAUAGUAAAGGUUAAAAAUUAAUCAAGUUACUCAGAUUAAAAUACAGAAAAUGGAUGGGUAUAGAAAAGCUCAUUUAACCACAGCACCAACUAUGCUGCAGAAUAAAUUUAUCAAUCAACAAUCCCCAGUAUCGCAACACCAAAAGUGCCAGAAUGAGGUUUCCCAGACCUGCAAGAUGCAAACAUAGCGGCUAAACUGUGAUGAAUUCCUAGAAAAGUUUAAAAAAAAAAAAAAAAGUGUGGGGGCAGACAACGCAUCCACACUUACAGCAUCCACACUAUAGCUAAAUCACUAAACCAAGCUUCAAAUAUCAUCCUUUAAUCAAUCAAUAUGAAUAUACUAUUCAUAUUCCAAUUCUAACAAGAUGAGAAUUAUGGCAAUGCUUCAAACAAAGCACUGAAACAAGGCUUUCUGAGGCAAUGAUCUUCCUCACCUCUCUGCGGUCAGCUUCCAAGCAGCCAAUAUGAAUACUUACCGGAACAGAAGUCUGUCGUGUUCCCCACUUGACAAUCACUAACUGUUGAGUUAUGUGAACAAUAGCUCUCAUCUGUUGGGGGGCAGGGGAAAAGAGACAAACAGCAUCAACCACCCAUUUGUAUUAUCUUUGACUCUGCUACUAAGCUCUAUGAAAUCAAACCCAAACACUUUAGAAGUGGGCAGGGGGAACCACUUUAGGUGUUUUGACCUAAAGUUAAACCCACAGACCAAACCCUGUCAUUCUCCUUUUCCCACUGACUUAGAGAUUACGCAGGAUCCUUCUAACUUUUAUCCAUUAAAAAUCCACAUUAAUAUACUGAAAAAAUAAAUCUGCAACACUUAGAUCUCAGAAUUGUGGGAAGACUACUGUACAAUCAAGAAAGGCAGCCAUCAUCUAAAAAGUGGGCAGGUGGCUCACGCCUAUAAUCUCAGCACUUUGGGAGGCCAGGGUGGGAAGAUCACCUGAGGUCAGGAGUUCGAGAUCAGCCUGACCAAUAUGGUGAGACCCUGCCUCUACCAAAAAUACAGAACUCUGUCUCAGGGAAAAAAAAAAAGGCGGAGACAGUAAGUUGAAGUGGUCAGGGUCUGUAUUAAGAGGUUAGUAAACAGAUGAGGCACCCCAUAACACUGUAGAAACUCUAUUCCAAAUCUCACUGCUUUAGUCUUCUAUACUUUCUAAAACAACUUUCCUGGAUAGGUAGACUUGGAACAAGAGUAAGGGGAGAACCUUUCCCAACAAAUCUUAAAGUAGAGCAUUCCAUCUCCAAAAUUCACCAACUCUUACAUACUCCCAUAUAAAGGGGAAAGAGUACGCCCUUAAAUCCCAUUUUAUGACCUAAAAAAAAGAGACACUUCUAUAACAAAAAAGUUAAUUUGGCCCAAUUUAGUUAAUACCUUAAAGAGCUUUUUGAAAUUUAUGUAGUGAUAUAAUUUCUAGAACUAUUAAAAUUUUUACCAAAUAAAAAAACUUAUGGUUUGUUUUUACUUAAAAAAAAAACCGCCAAAACAACUAGAUUGUUUUACUGAUAAGUGCAACCACUUUACAUUAAAAAACAAUUAAAAUAAUGUAUGCAGUAAUAUGGUUCUAAUAAGAAUCUUAUUGAAUUUCAAUGUACGUCCCUUUAGCGCUCUACCUCUUGUAUUAACAAAAGCACAGGAAGUCAACUCUCCCUACCUCUUUCUUCUCUACACCUAAGCAUCCAACAGUUUCAUAAGGUCUCUUUAUAUUUCAUGUUGCAGGACACAGUUUUCAACACAACCUUCACUCACAGCUAAUUCCAGUGUAUUAAAGUACUCUCAAUCCUUAGAACAGGCUUUAAAAAAAGCCAGGUGAGGAAGCACGCAUCUGUAGUCUUGGCUACUAGGGAGGCCAAGGUUGGAGGAUUGCUUGAGCCUAGGAUUUCAAGACCAACCUGGGUAACACAGGAGACUCCAUCUCAUAAAAAACAAACGACUGAGCUUUAAUUAUCAAGUCUUAAGGAAUCUAAAGGGAGGAUGGGAGACAAAAAGAGAUUUUCAGGGGGAGUGCGAGGCAACUGGCACUUUAAAGGAGUACUGGAUUUGCAAAAUAAAUAGUGCACAAUAUCCUAAAUGUCCUACAUAACUUUCAAGUGUUCAAGAAUUACUGUAUUUUAAAAUGCUAUAACAAAACAGUUUUGCAUCCCCAAAGUUUCUUACCUU